UGUUUGUGUGUUUCUUUCCUUCUCUCUUCGCCUCUUCGUUCUGGCUCUUUUCCUCUUUCUGCGGGGCGCCCCCGGACUUCCUGAGUUGACAGAACGACCAGCCAGAAAAGUCAGGACACGGAGAACUUCGCCCGAGAAAACCAACGCAAUCUACCAGACGUACAGAACCCCCUCCCCGACGACCACAGCGUCCACAGUCUGCUCGAGUGCAGGGCGAAAGAAACUUUGGUAAUAUAUUUCUUUAAAUCUUGGCUCAUGGAUCCAAACAAAUCUGGUCGGGUCUCCUCUGAAGUUCAGAAUAAUAUAAAAAGGCCCAUCCUUUGUCAGGCUGUAAGAAAAUAAUUUCUCAGAUACCAUUGUGUAAAAGCAUCCUGCCUUUGUCAUGGAAUCAGUGACAUAUCUUUCGUUGAUCAAAACAGCAGUGGGAGUACCUGUGGAGCAAUGAUAAGGAUUCAGGAAAUAGUUUACGAUUCAAGUGCAUCCUAAAGUUGGAGCAACCCUGGCUAGAAUAUCAUAGAUCCUUGAGUUGGCAGAGACCUUUCACUCUUCAGUAUAUUUAUAUUCAACGCAAAGAUCCUUCCUUCUAUAUCAUCCUUGACAACAGACCACCUAGAUUCUGUGUAAAUAAUUCCGAUGACAAGAAACGCAUUAAAUAAAGAGACCCCUUUGUUUUUAGAGUUUUAAAUGUUU
RNAcentral lists this long non-coding RNA (690 nucleotides) under Equus asinus (donkey). Its description in RNAcentral is "lncRNA (ENSEASG00005027985.1)". The record is from RNAcentral. Lineage: Eukaryota; Metazoa; Chordata; Mammalia; Perissodactyla; Equidae.